RNAcentral lists this ribosomal RNA (1471 nucleotides) under Betaproteobacteria bacterium. RNAcentral's name for it is "partial 23S ribosomal RNA". It matches the Rfam family "Bacterial large subunit ribosomal RNA", at positions 510 to 1926 of the family's 2925-position model. Lineage: Bacteria; Pseudomonadati; Pseudomonadota; Betaproteobacteria. The record is from RNAcentral.
AAAGGUGAAAAGAACCCCGCAAGGGGAGUGAAAUAGAAUCUGAAACCGUUUGCAUACAAACCGUUGGAGCUGCCUUGUGCAGUGACAGCGUGCCUUUUGAAGAAUGAGUCUACGAGUUAGUGUGAUGUGGCAAGGUUAACCCGUCGAGGGGAAGCCGUAGCGAAAGCGAGUCUGAAUAGGGCGAAUAAGUUGCAUCAUCUAAACCCGAAGCGAGGUGAUCUACGCAUGGCCAGGUUGAAGCGCGGGUAAGACCGCGUGGAGGACCGAACCCACUAAUGUUGAAAAAUUAGGGGAUGAGCUGUGUGUAGGGGUGAAAGGCCAAUCAAACUUCGUGAUAGCUGGUUCUCUCCGAAAUGCAUUUAGGUGCAGCGUCACGUGUUUCUUACCGGAGGUAGAGCUACUGGAUGGUCGAGGGGGCCUACAAGCUUACCAACAUCAGCCAAACUCCGAAUGCCGGUAAGUGAGAGCGUGGCAGUGAGACUGUGGGGGAUAAGCUUCAUAGUCGAGAGGGAAACAACCCAGAAUAGCAACUAAGGUCCCAAAGCCUGUGCUAAGUGGAAAAGGAUGUGGAGUCGUAUAGACAACCAGGAUGUUGGCUUAGAAGCAGCCACCAUUUAAAGAGUGCGUAAUAGCUCACUGGUCAAAUGAUUCCGCGCCGACAAUGUAACGGGGCUCAAGCACAGCACCGAAGUUCUAUCAUUCACACAUUAUCCCGGUCGCAAGAUCCAGGAGUGUGGAUGGGUAGGAGAGCGUUGUGUGGCUGGUGAAGCGGCGGAGGAAUCCAGCCGUGGAAGCCACACAAGUGAGAAUGUAGACAUGAGUAGCGAGAGAAGUGUGAGAAACAUUUCCGCCGAAAGACCAAGGGUUCCUGGGCCAGGCUAAUCCGCCCAGGGUAAGUCGGGACCUAAGGCGAGGCCGUCAGGCGUAGUCGAUGGACAACUGGUUUAAGCCGCGUGGGUGGAUGGCUCGAACCGGUGUGGUAGUAGUUAAGCAAUGGUGUGACACAGGAAGGCAGUCCAGCCCGGGCGAUGGUUGUCCCGGGGUAAGGCUGUAGGGGGUGUUGUAGGUAAAUCCGCAACACACAUACCCUGAGAGCUGAUGCCGAGCCGUAAGGCGAAGUGGAUGAUCCUAUGCUGUCAAGAAAAGCAUCUAGCGAGAAUUAUUGCGGCCCGUACCCGAAACCGACACAGGUGGUCAGGUAGAGAAUACCAAGGCGAUCGAGAGAAUCAUGGAUAAGGAACUCGGCAAAAUGCCCCCGUAACUUCGGGAGAAGGGGGGCCCUCUGGCGUGUAGGAAUUUACUUCCGAAGCGUUAGGAGGCCGCAGAGACCAGGCUCAAGCGACUGUUUACCAAAAACACAGGUCCGUGCGAAGUAGCAAUACGAUGUAUACGGACUGACGCCUGCCCGGUGCUGGAAGGUUAAGGGGACUGGUUAGCCGCAAGGCGAAGCUGAGAACUUAAGCCCCAGUAA